CCUGAUGCAGACCCAGUGUAAGAACAUGCUGGCACUGUUUCGUGUGUUUAGGCUAUGACAGGUUUGACACAGUAUUUGCUUUUAGUGAUAUUUAAUCUAAUCUAAAUCUCAUCAUGUUUUUAAACAGUGUUGGGUAGCCACCCAUGCACGUUGACACAGCCCCCAGCAGUGGGCACUCAUGGGGAUGGACCCAGGAGUGGAGGAUGACCCAAAAGUGGUGGGUAGCCACCCAUGCACGUUGACACAGCCAGCAGCGAGUACCCAGGGCGAUGGACCCAGAAGUGGAGGAUGAUCCAAUAGGAGUGCUGGAGCGAUAGGGGGCCAAUCAUCUCUAAUUGAGACCCUUAUAAAGACUCUGGGCGGCUCCGACUAACUCUCUCUCUUGAAUCUGGCUUCUUCAGACGACAGCCCUGACGGCCACACUGAGAAUGCAGACGAUGGUGGUGGAAUUAAUAACCUGGAUCAGGAGUCCUCUGACAGCAGAUCUGAAUGGGCACCUGAUGGUGAAGACAUUACAUGUGAGGAAAAGACACAUACUAGAGGGAGUCGAGGACUUGGCUGGCCUACAAAAUGUCACUAAGGGAUGCAACUGACAGCUGAAGUAGGAUCUUUUUUGUUUUUUGGCCAUGACAAUGCUUUGACAGUUGAUAAUAAACUGAUAAUUACGAUA
Molecule: long non-coding RNA, 670 nt
Organism: Engraulis encrasicolus (European anchovy)
Lineage: Eukaryota; Metazoa; Chordata; Actinopteri; Clupeiformes; Engraulidae
Exons: 5
Source: RefSeq, a predicted model, not a curated record